Molecule: ribosomal RNA, 594 nt
Filed under: uncultured bacterium
Lineage: Bacteria
Description: bacterial SSU rRNA
Rfam family: Bacterial small subunit ribosomal RNA (bases 1-517)
Source: RNAcentral
CCUACGGGAGGCAGCAGUGGGGAAUCUUGCGCAAUGGGCGAAAGCCUGACGCAGCCAUGCCGCGUGAAUGAUGAAGGUCUUAGGAUUGUAAAAUUCUUUCACCGGGGACGAUAAUGACGGUACCCGGAGAAGAAGCCCCGGCUAACUUCGUGCCAGCAGCCGCGGUAAUACGAAGGGGGCUAGCGUUGCUCGGAAUUACUGGGCGUAAAGGGAGCGUAGGCGGAUAGUUUAGUCAGAGGUGAAAGCCCAGGGCUCAACCUUGGAAUUGCCUUUGAUACUGGCUAUCUUGAGUUUGGGAGAGGUGAGUGGAACUCCGAGUGUAGAGGUGAAAUUCGUAGAUAUUCGGAAGAACACCAGUGGCGAAGGCGACUCACUGGCCCAAUACUGACGCUGAGGCUCGAAAGCGUGGGGAGCAAACAGGAUUAGAUACCCUGGUAGUCCACGCCGUAAACGAUGAGUGCUAGUUGUCGGCAUGCACGCAUGUCGGUGACGCAGCUACGACAUAAGACACUCCGCCGUCGGGAGGUACGGUCGCGAGAGUUAAACUAACGAAGAAGUUAGAGNGUUGAGAGNGCGAGCGACGACGAGGAGAGG